UACGGAGGGUGCAAGCGUUAUCCGGAUUCACUGGGUUUAAAGGGUGCGUAGGCGGGCAGGUAAGUCAGUGGUGAAAUCUUUGGGCUCAACCCAAAAACUGCCAUUGAUACUAUCUGUCUUGAAUAUUGUGGAGGUGAGCGGAAUAUGUCAUGUAGCGGUGAAAUGCUUAGAUAUGACAUAGAACACCCAUUGCGAAGGCAGCUCACUACGCAUAUAUUGACGCUGAGGCACGAAAGCGUGGGGAUCAAACAGG
Molecule: ribosomal RNA, 253 nt
Filed under: uncultured prokaryote
Description: partial 16S ribosomal RNA
Rfam family: Bacterial small subunit ribosomal RNA
Source: RNAcentral